This 480-nucleotide ribosomal RNA is filed under the name uncultured bacterium. RNAcentral describes it as "bacterial SSU rRNA". It matches the Rfam family "Bacterial small subunit ribosomal RNA", at positions 26 to 518 of the family's 1533-position model. The record is from RNAcentral.
GGCUCGAGGACGAACGCUGGCGGCGUGCCUAACACAUGCAAGUCGAGCGAUGAAAUCCUUCGGGAUGGAUUAGCGGCGGACGGGUGAGUAACACGUGGGUAACCUGCCUUGUAGAGGGGGAUAGCCUUCCGAAAGGAAGAUUAAUACCGCAUAACAUCUUUUUAUCGCAUGGUAGGAAGAUCAAAGGAGCAAUCCGCUACAAGAUGGACCCGCGGCGCAUUAGCUAGUUGGUGAGGUAACGGCUCACCAAGGCGACGAUGCGUAGCCGACCUGAGAGGGUGAUCGGCCACAUUGGAACUGAGACACGGUCCAGACUCCUACGGGAGGCAGCAGUGGGGAAUAUUGCGCAAUGGGGGGAAACCCUGACGCAGCAACGCCGCGUGAAUGAAGAAGGCCUUAGGGUUGUAAAGUUCUGUUUACGGGGACGAUAAUGACGGUACCCGUGGAGGAAGCCACGGCUAACUACGUGCCAGCCGCCGC